This 448-nucleotide ribosomal RNA is filed under the name uncultured bacterium. RNAcentral describes it as "bacterial SSU rRNA". It matches the Rfam family "Bacterial small subunit ribosomal RNA", at positions 29 to 524 of the family's 1533-position model. The record is from RNAcentral.
AACGAACGCUGGCGGCAUGCCUAACACAUGCAAGUCGAACGAGACCUUCGGGUCUAGUGGCGCACGGGUGCGUAACGCGUGGGAACCUGCCUUUAGGUUCGGAAUAACUCAGAGAAAUUUGAGCUAAUACCGGAUAAUGUCUUCGGACCAAAGAUUUAUCGCCUUUAGAUGGGCCCGCGUUGGAUUAGCUAGUUGGUGGGUAAAGGCCUACCAAGGCGACGAUCCAUAGCUGGUCUGAGAGGAUGAUCAGCCACACUGGGACUGAGACACGGCCCAGACUCCUACGGGAGGCAGCAGUGGGGAAUAUUGGACAAUGGGCGAAAGCCUGAUCCAGCAAUGCCGCGUGAGUGACGAAGGCCUUAGGGUUGUAAAGCUCUUUUACCGAGAUGAUAAUGACAGUAUCGGGAGAAUAAGCUCCGGCUAACUCCGUGCCAGCAGCCGCGGUAAU